AGCGUGGAGACAGGUGGUGCAUGGCUGUCGUCAGCUCGUGUCGUGAGAUGUUGGGUUAAGUCCCGCAACGAGCGCAACCCUCACCCCUUGUUGCCACCGGGUCAUGCCGAGCACUCUAGGGGAACUGCCAGCGUUAAGCUGGAGGAAGGCGGGGAUGACGUCAAGUCAUCAUGCCCCUUACGCCCUGGGCUACACACGUGCUACAAUGGCCGGUACAAAGGGAUGCAAGACCGCGAGGUGGAGCUAACCCCAAAAAACUGGCCUAAGUUCAGAUUGCAGUCUGCAACUCGACUGCAUGAAGGAGGAAUCGCUAGUAAUCGCGUAUCAGCACGACGCGGUGAAUACGUUCCCGGGCCUUGUACACACCGCCCGUCACACCACGAAAGCCUGCUGUACUCGAAGUCGCUGAG
RNAcentral lists this ribosomal RNA (410 nucleotides) under uncultured Methylomirabilota bacterium. RNAcentral describes it as "bacterial SSU rRNA". It matches the Rfam family "Bacterial small subunit ribosomal RNA", at positions 1025 to 1434 of the family's 1533-position model. Lineage: Bacteria; Methylomirabilota (SeqCode). The record is from RNAcentral.